This 468-nucleotide ribosomal RNA is filed under the name uncultured bacterium. RNAcentral's name for it is "partial 16S ribosomal RNA". It matches the Rfam family "Bacterial small subunit ribosomal RNA", at positions 28 to 507 of the family's 1533-position model. The record is from RNAcentral.
GACGAACGCUGGCGGCGUGCUUAACACAUGCAAGUCGAACGGUAAGGCCCGGUUUUUGUGCGGUGCUCGAGUGGCGAACGGGUGUGUAUCACGUGAGUAACCUGCCCUUGACUUUGGGAUAACUUCAGUGAACUGGAGAUCUUACAGCAUAGAAGCUUCGGCUGUAUGUUGGGUGUUGGAAAGUUUCGGAGUUUGGGGAUGAACUCGCGGUUUAGCAGCUUGUUGGUUGGGUAGUGGCGUACCAAGGCAUUGACGGGUAGCCGGCCUGAGAGGGUGACCGGCCCCAGUGGGACUGAGAUAGGGCCCAGACGCCUACGGGAGGCAGCAGUGGGGAAUAUUGCACAAUGGGCGGAAGCAGGAGGCAGCAACGUCGCGUGCGGGAUGACGGUUUUAGGGUUGUAAACCGCUUUCGCCUGUGACGAAGAGUGAGUGACGGUAAUGGGUAAAGAAGCACCGGCUAACUACGUG